UCCCUGGUGGCUCAGACGGUAAAGCGUCUGCCUACAGUGCAGGAGACCCGGGUUCGAUUCCUGGGUUGGGAA
This 72-nucleotide transfer RNA is filed under the name Ovis aries (sheep). It matches the Rfam family "tRNA". Rfam says of the family: Transfer RNA (tRNA) molecules are approximately 80 nucleotides in length. The record is from Rfam by way of RNAcentral. Lineage: Eukaryota; Metazoa; Chordata; Mammalia; Artiodactyla; Bovidae.